RNAcentral lists this ribosomal RNA (435 nucleotides) under Salmonella enterica. Its description in RNAcentral is "bacterial SSU rRNA". It matches the Rfam family "Bacterial small subunit ribosomal RNA", at positions 1110 to 1533 of the family's 1533-position model. The record is from RNAcentral. Lineage: Bacteria; Pseudomonadati; Pseudomonadota; Gammaproteobacteria; Enterobacterales; Enterobacteriaceae.
CUUUGUUGCCAGCGGUUAGGCCGGGAACUCAAAGGAGACUGCCAGUGAUAAACUGGAGGAAGGUGGGGAUGACGUCAAGUCAUCAUGGCCCUUACGACCAGGGCUACACACGUGCUACAAUGGCGCAUACAAAGAGAAGCGACCUCGCGAGAGCAAGCGGACCUCAUAAAGUGCGUCGUAGUCCGGAUUGGAGUCUGCAACUCGACUCCAUGAAGUCGGAAUCGCUAGUAAUCGUGGAUCAGAAUGCCACGGUGAAUACGUUCCCGGGCCUUGUACACACCGCCCGUCACACCAUGGGAGUGGGUUGCAAAAGAAGUAGGUAGCUUAACCUUCGGGAGGGCGCUUACCACUUUGUGAUUCAUGACUGGGGUGAAGUCGUAACAAGGUAACCGUAGGGGAACCUGCGGUUGGAUCACCUCCUUACCUUAAAGAAGC